UCAAGACAAGUUUAAAGAAAAAUGUAUGUAGUCAAAUUUUAAAUAAUGUAUAGGUAGUAUUAUCCUUUGAUUGUAAAUUGUUUUCCCUACUACGUAAAGCUGGUACAAUAGCCGUACGGUUUUUUAUAUACCGAAAAGCAUUCAUUCAUCAUGGAGUCCAGGAUGAUUUACGAUGUGAUGGUAGAACAAUGCUGGAUUAUCACCCUUUAAUUCUUGAAACUACAUUAGUUUCCAAUGCCAGUGGAUCGGCAAGGCUGAGACUUGCAAACUCAUCAACAUCUGGAAAAUGAAAUUUGCAAAUUCCUACAAAGAUCCUAUGCUUCAGAUUCUUGAAUGUGGAGGGAACCCUUAUGAUGUAGUGUCAUUGGCUGAGAAAUCGGCUCUUUAUACAACCCAAAUUCCAUUAAAAUAGCAACCAUGGACGGAUAUCAACCAGAUCUGGAGCUCUAAGAUGAUCCUUAUGUUACCAAGAGACUAAACACAGAGAACAUUCCUUGUGGACUGACUUUGAUGAAGGAGGUGGUGUCCUGGUGGCACGUUGCGAACAUGACGCUAUCACCGUUGGAUCGGCUGGUGAUAACCAAUUUAUCAACAUCAAAGAAUGGGACUCAAGGUUGUCUGGUGAAGUCGAAUGGCGCCAGAAACUGGACACUCAGCGAGGUGCUGUUCAGGCCAACGAGCUGAAGAAUAAUGCAUGCAAGCUAGCAAAAUGGACUGUGCAAGCUCUGCUCGCCAACUCUGAUUGGAUUAAAUUCGGAUAUGUAUCCCGUAUGCACAUACGAGAUACAUCGCGUCGUGUAAUCCUUGGAACACAGCAGUUCCACCCGUCAGAUUUCGCAUCGCAAAUCAACCUUAACAUCGACAAUGCUUGGGGCAUUCUCCGUUGUAUUAUUGAUUUGUGUAUGAAGGAAGAGGAUGGCAAAUAUUUGUUGGUGAAGGAUCCUAACAAGCCCGUCAUUCGCCUUUACAAGGUGCCCGAUAUUACGUUUGAGAGCGACGAUGAAGCAUUUUUCGGAGAAGGAGAAGAAGACGAGUAACGGCUGAUACAAACAAAAGAACAGCUCUUCCACUAAUUCCCCAAUCUACAACAAUACUACGUUUGUAAUGAUCGUUACAUGGAAUAAAGCACUUAUGAAGCUUCCAGUUUA
Molecule: long non-coding RNA, 1148 nt
Filed under: Daphnia pulicaria
Lineage: Eukaryota; Metazoa; Arthropoda; Branchiopoda; Diplostraca; Daphniidae
Description: uncharacterized LOC124343845, transcript variant X2
Source: RNAcentral